UUGGAGGGCAAGUCUGGUGCCAGCAGCCGCGGUAAUUCCAGCUCCAAUAGCGUAUAUUAAAGUUGUUGCAGUUAAAAAGCUCGUAGUUGAACUUCGGGAUCAAUGGAUUGGUCAUGCCGAUGGUAUGUACUGGUCAUAUUGGUUCUCACCUUCUAAGGAACCAUAAUGUCAUUUAUUUGAUGUUGUGGGGAAUUAGGACUGUUACCUUGAAAAAAUUAGAGUGUUUAAAGCAGGCUAACGCUUGAAUACAUUAGCAUGGAAUAAUGAAAUAGGACAUCGCAUUCUAUUUUGUUGGUUUCUAGGAUCGAUGUAAUGAUUAAUAGGGAUAGUUGGGGGCAUUAGUAUUCAAUUGUCAGAGGUGAAAUUCUUGGAUUUAUUGAAGACUAACUACUGCGAAAGCAUUUGCCAAGGAUGUUUUCAUUAAUCAAGAACGAAAGUUAGGGGAUCGAAGACGAUCAGAUACCGUCGUAGUCUUAACCAUAAACUAUGCCGACUAGGGAUCGGACGAAGUUAAUUUUAUAAUGACGCGUUCGGCGCCUUACGGGAAAC
Molecule: ribosomal RNA, 549 nt
Filed under: uncultured Glomus
Lineage: Eukaryota; Fungi; Glomeromycota; Glomeromycetes; Glomerales; Glomeraceae
Description: SSU rRNA
Rfam family: Eukaryotic small subunit ribosomal RNA
Source: RNAcentral